UAGGGAAUCUUCCACAAUGGACGAAAGUCUGAUGGAGCAACGCCGCGUGAGUGAAGAAGGUUUUCGGAUCGUAAAGCUCUGUUGUUGGUGAAGAAGGAUAGAGGCAGUAACUGGUCUUUAUUUGACGGUAAUCAACCAGAAAGUCACGGCUAACUACGUGCCAGCAGCCGCGGUAAUACGUAGGUGGCAAGCGUUGUCCGGAUUUAUUGGGCGUAAAGCGAGCGCAGGCGGAAUGAUAAGUCUGAUGUGAAAACCCACGGCUCAACCGUGGAACUGCAUCGGAAACUGUCAUUCUUGAGUGCAGAAGAGGAGAGUGGAACUCCAUGUGUAGCGGUGGAAUGCGUAGAUAUAUGGAAGAACACCAGUGGCGAAGGCGGCUCUCUGGUCUGCAACUGACGCUGAGGCUCGAAAGCAUGGGUAGCGAACAGGAUUAGAUACCCUGGUAGUCCAUGCCGUAAACGAUGAGCGCUAGGUGUUGGGGACUUUCCGGUCCUCAGUGCCGCAGCAAACGCAUUAAGCGCUCCGCCUGGGGAGUACGACCGCAAGGUUGAAAC
This 554-nucleotide ribosomal RNA is filed under the name uncultured bacterium. RNAcentral describes it as "partial 16S ribosomal RNA". It matches the Rfam family "Bacterial small subunit ribosomal RNA", at positions 355 to 900 of the family's 1533-position model. The record is from RNAcentral.